ACUUAACCUGUGUCUAAAGCACUGCUGGCCGCCGAUUCUACGCCGCCCGGUCGCCAGGGAGAGUGAAUACAGCUAGGGACGUGAAAGAACGGGGAAGAUAACCGAAGGGUGGUUUGAGAAACCCACCAGGCCAACUGGGAAUUAGAAUUGAUUCAAAACUCCAUUGAUCGCCUGACCUCCAUAAGCUCCUACUCUGCUGCAGUUGAGUGCUGCCACUUAAAUCCUGCAGUCCCGAGAUCCGGUUAUAACCAAUGCAUUUAGAUUUUUCAUUUCGGUGGCAACAAUCUUCAUUGUAAGUUCUGUCCUACAGAGAAGUGUGGUGAUCAAGCUCUUUGGAGAUACUGGGACUCCUCUCACAAAUGUAUGUCUCACAGUUAUGAUGAAUGGUGUAUCUCCUGGAUCUUCCUCAGUUGAGUAUGUUUUAAAGGAAAAAUACACUUUAUCAUUCAAAUCUUUCAAA
RNAcentral lists this long non-coding RNA (460 nucleotides) under Homo sapiens (human). RNAcentral's name for it is "HSALNT0396512". The record is from RNAcentral. Lineage: Eukaryota; Metazoa; Chordata; Mammalia; Primates; Hominidae.